RNAcentral lists this transfer RNA (86 nucleotides) under bacterium. Its description in RNAcentral is "tRNA-Ser". It matches the Rfam family "tRNA". Rfam says of the family: Transfer RNA (tRNA) molecules are approximately 80 nucleotides in length. Their secondary structure includes four short double-helical elements and three loops (D, anti-codon, and T loops). Further hydrogen bonds mediate the characteristic L-shaped molecular structure. tRNAs have two regions of fundamental functional importance: the anti-codon, which is responsible for specific mRNA codon recognition, and the 3' end, to which the tRNAs corresponding amino acid is attached (by aminoacyl-tRNA synthetases). tRNAs cope with the degeneracy of the genetic code in two manners: having more than one tRNA (with a specific anti-codon) for a particular amino acid; and 'wobble' base-pairing, i.e. permitting non-standard base-pairing at the 3rd anti-codon position. RNAcentral also lists the same sequence under 1 other name. The record is from RNAcentral.
GGAGGGCUAGCCUAACUGGUAAGGCAGCGGUCUUGAAAACCGCCGGGUGAGAGCCCUUGGGGGUUCGAGUCCCCCGCCCUCCGCCA